GGAGCCAAUCUUGAUAGUAAAACUAGAACGAAAGAGACACCUCUUCAUUGUGCUGCUUCCCAUGGUCACGGAGGUGUCGCUGAUGUCCUUCUCAAGAAUGGAGCUAACGCUAAUAUUGGAAAUAAUUUGAAUACCACAGCUCUUCAUUUAGCUGCUGAAUAUGGUCACAAAAAUGUCGCCGAGGUUCUCCUCAACAAAGGCGCCAGUAUGGAUAUCAUGAA
Molecule: long non-coding RNA, 221 nt
Organism: Sitodiplosis mosellana (orange wheat blossom midge)
Lineage: Eukaryota; Metazoa; Arthropoda; Insecta; Diptera; Cecidomyiidae
Exons: 3
Source: RefSeq, a predicted model, not a curated record